CAAUAGCCCAGAUGACAAUGAAAUCCUUUUACAGCCUCGUUAUAUUUUUUCUUAGACUAAAAGAGCGACCUACGGAAGCUCCUUUUAGGCUUUAGAAAAAAAUAAACGAGACCAGAAAGGAUGUAAUGAACAGCUGGAAAAAGC
Non-coding RNA from Flavobacterium frigoris, 144 nucleotides. NCBI's taxonomy places the organism in Bacteria, Pseudomonadati, Bacteroidota, Flavobacteriia, Flavobacteriales, Flavobacteriaceae. The record is from Rfam.